This is a long non-coding RNA of Esox lucius (northern pike), 3712 nucleotides long. The record is from Ensembl. Lineage: Eukaryota; Metazoa; Chordata; Actinopteri; Esociformes; Esocidae.
GAGUGAGUCGCCUGCACCUCCAAUUUCCUCGUCCUCCUCUUCCGCCUCCUCUUCCGCCUCCUCUUCUGCCUCCUCUGUUGGAUCCACAUACAUAUAUACCUUUCUCUGGGCUCAUAUAUGUAUAUUUUGCAUUUCGGCCUCUUUUUUUCUUGGUUUGUCUUGUGAGCAGAAACCAAAUGGAUUUUUUUUUUUUGUGGUGGAGGAGGGGGGGCAGGGGAGAUAGGGGAGUCUUUUUUUUUGGGUGGGGGUGUUAGGGGGGUGUGCAUGUGGUGUUGGGUAACGGCUGAAAUCUCCUCGUCGCCCCCCCCCCGUUCCUACCCUCUCCUUCGUAACCCUGACUGCAUGCGGGACAUCUGCCUGCGUCCCAUCCCCUCAGACCCCCUCCAGCAGCGCCACGCACCCCAGCCCCCCUCCCUCCGCCCUGGCUCUCCCUCUGCCCCAGACGGAGCAUCUCCAGCGGGCACCUGGACCAGACGCCUGGAGGACACGGGAGGAAAUACUCUGUCUUCUCACCACUUUCUCUCCGACAGGAUAUCAUCUGACACAGCAGUGCUCAUCCUGUGCCUAGCAGGCUAAACCGAGGGGGAAUCAAGCACACAGGUCAACAUUUAAAGGAAAAAGGAAUUGUAACUUAUUUACUUUGUGCCUCGGCAGAUAUGGACGCCCGAGUGUCUUGGCGUAUUCGCACAAUUUGCAUUCUCAUGUUGGUUUGAUGUUAUGCAUGUACAUUAAUAUUAUUAUUUUGGCGUAGGUAUUCAUUUCGUUGAGGAUGGCGCUCAUCUUGGCAUAUUUUCGCUUUCGUGUGUUUUUAUUUCCGCUAAUGCCUUCAAGAGCAAUUCAGUUUUUGCACAGGGAGCAAUAGAGAGAAGUGAGCGAGCGAGGAGAAGGAGGGAGUGAGAGACUAGAAGGAGGUAGGGAGAGAGAGAGGAAGAAGGAUGGAGGAUCAGCACCACAGCUGUAACAGAUAAAUGUCCGACAUGGUCUGUUCUUAUGGUCCACCACAUGGACCGCGAGCCAUCAUCCGUUGUCCGGGAUGAUUCAUUUAGCAUAGCAUCUCCAUCCAGCCUCUACAUACAGGGAGUGUCGUCAUCCUUUGUUAUGCUACCACAAGCAGGCUCUGACUGCAGGAAUGAACUAGCAAGCAGUUACCAGGGCUUCACGGGGAAUCACGGAAAAGGUACAUUUCUCCCCCUCCGUCUCUCGUGCUCCGGUGCGUUGCGUGAUCUGCAUUAGCGGCGUUAAUUCCAGCAUUGGGAAAACAGCAUGCGUGUUACUUUGACUGACGUGUAGUGUUGCUCUCUGUGUGAGUGUUGCUGGAGGCAUUUUGCUUCCACAUACGUCCGCCAACACACUCACCCCCACAUGCAGGGGAAGGGACACGCGUGCAGCCGCUCCGUCUCCGUCACAUGUAUGUGCUUGCAACGGGAGUCCAUGUUUUCUCCAUGUUUUAUGAGUCUGCGUGUGUACUAGGUGAGCGUGGGCUUGGCGGCGCGCCUCGACAUGUGAAACGGACUGCAUAGCGGCGCCACAACCAAGACGACAGGGACAGAGCCUUUCAUUUGCAUCCCACGAGGAGACAAGGAGCCCCCCAGGGACGAAGGGAUGAGGGUCACUGGAGCCCCCCCCCCCCCCGAGGCUACAUGUUUCACCACGGCAGACUCCGAGACACGUGCCACCAGCCCCCCCGACCCCCACCCACCCAAAGAGGCCCCACCCCCUACUCAGACAUGCUUAUGUUAGAACCAUUAUCUUCCUGCUCACCAUAUCCCACAAGGUCCGGCAGAAAGACUCAGGAGGAUGUCUGGGUAGCCGGUGUGACACUCGUGGUCCUGAAGCCACUGUCACAGUAGGACACCUAUGGGAGUCUAAAGGAACUGCUUACCUACAUAAUGUUGGGAAAGAAUAUAGGCAAUAGCUUAGAAGGUGGUCAAUAUUUGUUCUGAGGGUGUUUUAAUAAAGUGUGUGUGUUCACAAUGAGGCUUGAUGGUUAGAAUUAAAGUUAUAUAAUAGCUCCAAAGGUGGUGAACAAUACAAGAAGUGUUAGGAGCAUAGUUAUUAACUUACACAUUAUUAUCCCCAUAGUUUUCACACAUUUCAGACCUACAAAACGCUUGGCUCAAACCAGAUUGAGAAAUCCUAUUAAAUAUCUUAAUUUUAUGGGUAAUACUCAUGGUGGUGAAAUGUCCCAAUGUCUGCUUUACAGUAAAAUAACCAUAGACAAUGCCUAGCUGUUCAUAUCAUCCACGGACAGAAUAUUCUAACUUCGGCCUCAAAAUAAAUUGUGUUUUGUCGCCACCCGCUGGUCCUUUUAACAUCUUAGCCGCCAUUUUCUAUGUUUUUGACCGGAAUUAAUUGGGAAUGACCCAAACCAACAGUGUAAAUUAGGUCUUCAAUUUAAAUGUUUAAGCAAAUAUUAUUUGCACGGUCAUUGCAAUGUUUAUAUGUGCGCAGCCUCCUGUGUGAACGCAGCCGAGUUGACUGACAUCAUGAGGUGAGCUUGUACAUAACCUAAGCGUCUGAUUCAGCGUUAUUAGAUGACAGUCCAAGCAUGGUUUGAAUUGUUUGCUUAUUUCCGCAGUGUUGGGGAAACUACUUUGAAAAAAAUCCUUUAGUUUACCAAGUAGCCAAUUACUUCAGAUUCAAUUUGGUAAACUAAGCUAUUACUGUAUAUUUAAAAUGUAUUUUAAGUAGAUAUCCAAGUUGACCUAUUAAACACGAUUUCAAGUGAGAAUUAAGCAGGUUUGAUAUAAAAAAUAAAGCAUUGCCUAUAAUCCCAUAUUUUACUAACUACGCAAGGAAUCGUGGUCCUACUAGUACUAUAGCUGUAAUUGUUACCAAGUAAACAACUGAAAGCACUACCGUGAUUACAAUGUAGUAAAACCACCAUCAAGCUAACACAAAGUUUAAUUAUACGCAGUUCAUGACUCCCCAAAACUGAGCUCUGACAAUAUUUAGAUUUUCAAAUUUCAUUGCCUUUCUGUUGAGUCUGUAUUUUAUGGAAGACAAUUUACUGGCGGUAGGUAGCUACUUUGUCAACUUGUAAAUACCUCCAGUAAAUUGUCUCUCACAAAAUACAGACUUUUGCAUUGAAAAACAUUUAGCUAAUUUUCACUGCAGAUUGUCAGCACUUUCUGAAUAGCUUGAACUGCAACUAAUGUAGGUACUGUAGAUAUUAGCUAAUCUUUUGUUGUGGAACGUUACAUGCUUACAACAAAGUUAAUUGCAUUGAAACUCGCUAGGAAACGGCAAAAACAAGUCUCUUAUGUCAACGAAUGCAUGUGUAAAAUCUUUCUGGCCUCUACUUACAAGGCAUGGGCCGCUUUAAUUUGUUCUUUGCUAUCAAUUCAUUGUUAAACACAUUUUUUCGCCAGGUAGCGGGCUAAGGAAAAAUGACGUCACCUGCAUUAAAAAAAAGCUUACUUAUGUAGAAGUUAAUAUGGUUAUAAUUUCAACAAUAGAAACUAACAGUCAAGCGACCAGAGUCAUUGAGUUCCCCCACCAGGAACUGUUCAGUUGAUAACCACUGCUCCAUUUUCAAUGAAAACCCAAGCCCCCCUAUAAUUGAGUUCACAAAGUAUAUUCUCCAGCAUUUGCGUUUUCCUACAACAUAUUUCUGAAUUAUGUUAAGUCCCCUCGAAAAAUCCACAGAAAGAAUCCAACAUAAUUUCUGGAGUCAUUCAAUGAUUUGAACAUUCUAAUUAUAAAAGCCAAU